GAUGAACGCUGGCGGCGUGCCUAAUACAUGCAAGUCGAGCGAACGGACGAGAAGCUUGCUUCUCUGAUGUUAGCGGCGGACGGGUGAGUAACACGUGGAUAACCUACCUAUAAGACUGGGAUAACUUCGGGAAACCGGAGCUAAUACCGGAUGAUAUUUUGAACCGCAUGGUUCAAAAGUGAAAGACGGUCUUGCUGUCACUUAUAGAUGGAUCCGCGCUGCAUUAGCUAGUUGGUAAGGUAACGGCUUACCAAGGCAACGAUGCAUAGCCGACCUGAGAGGGUGAUCGCCCACACGGUAACUGAGACACGGUCCAGACUCCUACGGGAGGCAGCAGUCGGGAAUCUUCCGCAAUGGGCGAAAGCCUGACGUAGCAACGCCGCGUGAGUGAUGAAGGUCUUCGGAUCGUAAAACUCUGUUAUUAGGGAAGAACAUAUGUGUAAGUAACUGUGCACAUCUUGACGGUACCUAAUCAGAAAGCCACGGCUAACUACGUG
Molecule: ribosomal RNA, 497 nt
Filed under: uncultured bacterium
Lineage: Bacteria
Description: partial 16S ribosomal RNA
Rfam family: Bacterial small subunit ribosomal RNA
Source: RNAcentral